UGCAGCUGCGAGAGCGUGGUGGUCCAGUCCCACGGGAGUUCUUGUACUCUUGACCUCAGUUCCUGGCUUUUGCGAGUGUUUGCAAAGGUUGACGGGGUGGCGGCCUGGAUACACCACUCCCACGUGAGACCUGCCAUUAAAGGCGAACAAGAACAGCAGCAGGACCAGUGGAAGGCAACAGCAGACCCAGAAAAUCCGCUAGCGUGUCGACCAAACCGCCGAGGGACCAACGAUGAAGAAACACAGAAUAAAAAUGCUUGUGGUGACUUUCAUAUUUAUAACCCUUAUGGAAAAAACAGUGACUGACUCAAAUCCCCACGUGCCUUAUAACCUUACGUGGGAAAUAACUAACUUAAAGACCCACGAGGUCUAUAACCAGACCUCUAAAACAGCCCCACCAGGCACGUGGUGGCCGGAUAUGUAUUUUAAUCUAGAAAAAGUGGAUGAGUUAGUAGGGGGAGGUUCCAAAAUGGGGAGCCGGCAACGGGCCAACCGGGGGAGACAGGUUCGUAAUAACGGGUUCUUUACAUGCCCGGGGUUCCGAACGGGAGAGAUGCAGCGGGCUUGUGGUGGUAUAGAGAGCUUGUACUGUGCUAAAUGGAGUUGUGUGGAUACUAACGACGGCAACUGGAAAUGGUCGGUAACCCCAGGGCUCAUUGACAUGUCUUUUGUGCGGCCAGGGACGCCUCCUUGCACGUACGGCGAUUGGGGAAAAGGUCCAGAUAGGUCCAACUACGACACUUACCAAACUGACUGCACCCUAGUGAGGGUAUCAUUCACCGAAGCCGGAAAAAAAGAGUCCCGGUGGGUCUCUGGACUGUCCUGGGGAAUUUAUCUCUACCAACGACCAUACCAUGGCACUGUGCUUCAGAUUAAGCUUAAGGUUAGCCCUGUUCCCCAAGUAGCAGGGGGACCCAACCAGGUGCUGGGAGGAGGAGCAAGAGCGGACCUAGGGCAGCCUACCACAAGCCAUAACACAUCCACGAACGUCUCCUUAGCCAUUCAGUCCCCUAUAAACCAUCAAAUAUAAAAUGACCCAGGAGAUUCCUUACAGAAGGUGCUGACUGCAGCAUAUGAGGCAUUGAACCGUGCAGACCCCAACGCCACGGAAGCCUGCUGGUUAUGUUAUGAUAUUAGACCCCCUUUUAGGAAGCGGUAGGGGUAGCCGCCCCCUUUAACCGUUCAGGAGAUGAGACCCCCAAGUCCUGCGCAUGGGACCGUAACGGCCCGGGGCUAAUACUUCAGGCAGUCACCAGAAAGGAACAUGCAUAGCAAAGGUGCCUUCUAGUCAUGCGCAGUUGUGUGCCGAAGUCCACCCGUCUGCAAACCGGACCGGAGGAGCAAAAUGGAUCGUUCCGACGCUCAACGGGUGGUGGAUUUGCUCUAAAACAGGUCUGACUCCAUGUCUUAGCCUGUCUGUUUUUAAUGAAUCAGAGGAAUACUGCAUUAUGGUACUAGUAUUCCCUAAGGUUAUUUACCACCAAGAGAAUACAAUGUAUGAUGCAUGGACAAAGGGCACAGAAGGUACCGGGUUAACUAGAGCCAUAACCUCAGCCACUCUUUAUGGCCUGGGGGCAAUAGGAGCAGGGACAGGUAUCUCGUCCUUGGCAGUGCAACAUAGGGGGUUCAAUCAAUAGCUUAAGGGCUGCCAUAGAUGAAGAUAUAGCCAGAAUCGAGGAGUCCAUCUCCCAUUUAGAAAAAUCCCUAACCUCACUGUCUGAGGUGGUGCUGCAGAACCGAAGGGGGCUGGAUUUAGUAUUCCUCCAGCAGGGGGGGCUAUGUGCGGCCCUACAAGAGGAGUGCUGCUUCUAUGCAGACCAUACUGGGGUAGUUACAGAGUCUAUGGCUAAGGUUAGGGAAGGGACUUGCACGGUGGAGAGGAGAGCGCGAGCAACAACAAGGAUGGUUUGAAUCAUGGUUUAAUAGCUCCCCUUGGUUGACUACAUUGUUGUCCACCCUAUUAGGUCCACUCAUUGUGCCCCUCCUAAUUCUCACUCUGGGGCCAUGUGUCUUCAAUAGGUUAAUAGCUUUCAUUAAGGAACGGAUAAAUACUGUUCAAUUAAUGGUAUUGCGGUAGCAAUAUCAAGGACUAGGACGUGACUGUGUAGAGAUGCAGGAGGUCAGAGACCCCAAGGAUGAGCAAGAAUGCUUGUAAUCAUUCCAAAGAAGGGGGGAAUGCAAGAAAAGUAAGGCUAACGGCUUCUUCUAGCUUCUGUUCCCUAAGCUUGCUUGCUUGCAGUAAAGCUGCAGCGGGUGCUGGGCCCCAAAAGAAUGGUAACUGCAGGUCAUCUCCUGACAAGAGGUUGGAAAGUCCUGGGAUGGGAGCAAACAAAUCAAAUAAAAGGGCAAGACGUGAGCAGUGCAUGAACAGUUUGUGCAAGGUCUGUGUUCCUGGUAUCACAGUACACCAGAAACCGGUGUUAGGCAAUAGCAGCUAGUAUAAAACCCUACCCCAAACCUUCCCGGGGGUCCUUGUCAGAAUAGAGGCCACUGCGCUGGUGCUCUGAAACUCAGACCCUAGCUCGAGCUAGUCAAUAAAACUCCUUUUGGUGAUUUCA
This is a non-coding RNA of Microcebus murinus (gray mouse lemur), 2558 nucleotides long. NCBI's taxonomy places the organism in Eukaryota, Metazoa, Chordata, Mammalia, Primates, Cheirogaleidae. The record is from RefSeq and is a predicted model, not a curated record.